This 455-nucleotide ribosomal RNA is filed under the name uncultured bacterium. RNAcentral's name for it is "bacterial SSU rRNA". It matches the Rfam family "Bacterial small subunit ribosomal RNA", at positions 340 to 786 of the family's 1533-position model. The record is from RNAcentral.
UACGGAAGGCAGCAGUGGGGAAUAUUGCACAAUGGGCGCAAGCCUGAUGCAGCCAUGCCGCGUGUAUGAAAAAGGCCUUCGGGUUGUAAAGUACUUUCAGUCGUGAGGAAGGUGUUAAGGUUAAUAACCUUAGCAAUUGACGUUAGCGACAGAAGAAGCACCGGCUAACUCCGUGCCAGCAGCCGCGGUAAUACGGAGGGUGCGAGCGUUAAUCGGAAUUACUGGGCGUAAAGGGCACGCAGGCGGUUAAUAAGUUGGAUGUGAAAUCCCCGGGCUUAACCUGGGAAUGGCAUUCAAGACUGGUUAGCUAGAGUCUUGUAGAGGGGGGUUAGAAUUCCAUGUGUAGCGGUGAAAUGCGUAGAGAUGUGGAGGAAUACCGGUGGCGAAGGCGGCCCCUGGGACAAAGACUGACGCUCAUGUGCGAAAGCGUGGGGAGCAAACAGGGAUUAGAUACC